ACGCUCGACACCUACGGGAGACAGCAGUGGGGAAUAUUGCACAAUGGAGGAAACUCUGAUGCAGCGAUGCCGCGUGAGGGAAGAAGGUUUUCGGAUUGUAAACCUCUGUCUUUGGGGACGAUAAUGACGGUACCCAAGGAGGAAGCUCCGGCUAACUACGUGCCUGCAGCCGCGUAAUCUGAGCGGGCUGGCAAGGC
RNAcentral lists this ribosomal RNA (197 nucleotides) under uncultured bacterium. RNAcentral's name for it is "partial 16S ribosomal RNA". It matches the Rfam family "Bacterial small subunit ribosomal RNA", at positions 328 to 539 of the family's 1533-position model. The record is from RNAcentral.